AAAAGAUACUCCGCAUCAUGAUCGUGAGGGAGAAAUGCCAAUCUGAACUUUACACUCACUCUCAUGGCUAUAAUGAGAAAGAUGGGCAAUUUGGUGAGGAUGUGGAGAGAUCAGAAUCUUUGUGCAUUGAAUGGGAUUAUAAAACGGCCCAACCACCUUUUAAGUGGUUUGGCAAUUCCUCAAAAUGUUGACCACAGAAUUAUCAUAGGAGCCCCAAUAAUUCCACCUCUAGGUAUCUAAGAGAAAUAAAAACAUGUUAACCCCAAACAUGUACCUCCAGGUUCACAGAAGCAUUAUUCAUCCUAGUCAGAGAGUAGAACAACCUGUCAAUCAACCGAAGAACAGAUAAACAAAAACCUGCUAUGUCCACAAAAUAGAAUAUUAUUGGGCCAAGAAUGAAGUACUGAUAUGUGUUGUGGAUGAUCUCUUAAAACAUGCAGAAAUAGCAGGUCAUGAUGCACCACAUACUGUGAUUCCAUUGAUAUAAAUGUCCCAAAUAGGAAAAUCUAUGGAGAUAGAAAGAUUAGUGGUAGCCUAGCUUUUGGGUGGGGAUUGAAUUCUCAAGGCUUCUUUUGGGGAUGAUGGAAAUAUUCUUUUUUCUUUUUUUAAGAGAGAGAGAGAGAGAGAGAGAGAGAGAGAGAGAGAGAGAAAUAGAGAAUUUUUUUUUUAAUAUUUAUUUUUUAGUUCUCGGCAGACACAGCAUCUUUGUCUGUAUGUGGUGCUGAGGAUCGAACCCGGGCUGCACGCACGCCAGGCGAGCGCGCUACUGCUUGAGCCACAUCCCCAGCCCGGGAUGAUGGAAAUAUUCUAAAAUUAGAUUACGGUGAUGGUUGCACAACUCUGUAAAUAUGCUAUAAAACAUGGAAUCUUAAGCUUUAAAUAGGUGAGCUUCAUAGCCUGUAAAGUGCGUGUCGAUGAAGCUGUUUAUCCCAGAGAAGGCAGGCACUGGGCAGAUGAAGGAGGGAGGAAAGACUUUCUAUUUUUUUCCCCUCUCCUUUCCAGGUUUCAAAUCCCAUGACUAAUACCAUCUAUUCAAAAGCAAAUUUAAAACCAAAGAAUCCAGCAAAAAAAAAAAAAAAAUUUUUUUAAAGGCCUCUGAUUCUCCCCCCCCCCCGUUUGGGGUGGGGAAGAUGAGAGGGAGGGACCUGCCACCCACCCCGGUCACGCUGUGAAGCAAUGGCUGAGUGCACAACAGAUUCGUGGGACAAGGGCAGCCUUAGAGAGGUUCCAAGACCCAUCCGUGCCCUGGAAGCCACUAAAGCCACUGGACUGGAC
This 1275-nucleotide long non-coding RNA is filed under the name Marmota monax (woodchuck). The record is from RNAcentral. Lineage: Eukaryota; Metazoa; Chordata; Mammalia; Rodentia; Sciuridae.